CGUUUAUUUUAAGUGGAAUCAAUUUUUGUGGCUAUAUGAUUUAAUGGUUUUGCCAAAUUUUACAUGUAAAGCUAUAGAAUAUUUAUAUUUUGUUAAACAUUUAAAUUCAUGGUAUUGAUAUACCUGUGUAAAUUGGUACCCAACAUAUAAUGAAUCCACAGUAUAUCGAAUUUGAAUGCAGUGAAAAUAAAACGUCUUUGACAGACAAAUGACAUGUUAAAAUAAAUAUAUAAAACCAUAUUAUUUGACUAUAAAAUCAUAUUUGAAUGAAAAUGUAUUUAUGCAUGCACAGAGGGUAUAUUACAUUUCAGGGUAACUCUCAAACAAAAAUUGAUGCACAAUGAACUGUGAUAACUUACAAAUUUACACUGUUAUGUACUUUGUAAUCAGGUUAUAAUUGCAGGAUAUUAAAUUUGUUUUGAUUUGAUUUUUGUUUUUGUUUAGGGUAUCAAAAACAAAUGUUUAGCCUUGAUGUUAAUCUGAUUCACUAAUCUAGAAACUUGACAAAUGAAUUGAGUGUGUGCAAGUUAUUAAAAAGGGGAACUUUUUACCCAUACAUUUACAAAAAUGUUUAUUCUGGUUUACAUAUUGUUAGAAGGUAGUUACUUAUUGAAUUUAAAACUUUAGACCCUUCUAAAGCAAACAGCAGGACUUCUUAAGAUGCCAUUGCUUUCUUUACAGGAAAUUAUUAAUUUUAUUAAUUAUACUGAACAUGAUCUGAAAGUGAUAGGGAAGUGGUCUUUUUUAAGUCGAGCAUUUUUUAAGAUUGAAUAUAUAUUACUUGACAACCAAGUACACAUUUUUGUUAUAUCAUUUGUUGGACAUUUCAAUACUGAUUAGCAAAGUCUUGACAUAAAAAGAAAAUUCUGACCAUUUUAUAGAAUAUGUUUGUUUGAUGGCAAAAUUUUAUAAGCUAUUAAAAUUUUUAUUAAUAUUAUAGUUUUCUGAACUUUCAAUAUUUCUUGUAGCCUGGUUAUAUUUAGGACCUUGAUGAAAAUGUAAAACGUUAUGUUUAUAUGAUAUCUAAGUUAUUUUUAUCAUAAAAAAUUAUUAAAGUAGUCUGAUUGGCUAAGAGUGUUGUUGAGGAAAAAUUACAAGACUCGUUUAGAUUGUAAUGUCAAUAUGGUGAAACCUGUUCAACUGAAACUUUUCAUGAAGAAGAUAGUACAACAAUGUAGUAAUUUUGGUAAAAGGGUAUUCAAAUAUACUGGAAUGGAGUGAACACAUGUAUUUGUUUUUACAUGAUAGUUGAAUAUGUUUGAUGUAUUGUACUUUCUUUUUUUUCUUUAAACAAGCACUUUUCAUGUAGUAGUGAAUUAACUAUCAAAAGAAGGAACAGGCUAAAAUAACUUAUUUAUAUCAUUUGAGCUCUCAAAACUGUUCUUUUCCUAAGUAUAAUUGGAUUAAUUCCUCAGUGGAAUUGGUAUAAUUCAAGUAGAAAUUUUAGUUAAUCUUUGAAUGUUUUAUUAGUUGUUAGGAAUCAUUUAAACUUGUUUCAUGAUUGUAUAAUUCCACAUUAGAUUUUUAUUUUCUGGGAAGUAGAUAUUGAAUUCAUAAUUUGAGAAGAAAUAUCAAAAUUAUAUAUUAUCACCUUGGAAGAGAAAAUUGUUUAAUUAUAGAAAAUAUAUUAACCUUGUGUUGAUUACAGAGAUACCAAUCAGUUUAUGAGAUUUGUAACUUAUCCUUUACCUCUAUUGUUAAUAUAAUGAUACCAGGAGAAUGUGAGGAAUCCUGAGGCAAAAUGAAAGAUUAAAGGUGGUAUUGACUUACCACUGACCCUUGAUUAAAACUUUGGACUCUAGAAUCAUUUUUUUCCGUAUCUGAAAAAUUAUUUUUGAAUAAUCCCAUUUUGUGGAUUGUGAAUUUCAAUAAUUGAAUUCAUAGACUUCUGUCAUCUCAAUUUUCAGUAAAGAAGUAUCCACUAUGACUAAAAUGCAACAAAUUCUUAACAGAAUACAAGAAAUUUUUAACAGAAUACAACAAAUUCUUAACAGAAUACAACAAAACUAACUAGAAAUGUAACACAACUGUGUAAUCAGCAACAACAACAAAAAAAGAAAUUGCUGAUCUACCUACCAUAUUUAUUUUUAAGGAUGUAAAUGGAACCACACAUAUACUUUUGGCCUGACAGCAAAAUUAAUCAAUUAAUUGCUGAUAGUAAUAUUUUGUUUUUUGUCUAGUGGGAAGCAUAGGCAUUUUUAAGAAACAAUUAACAGUAGUAGGACAUGAUGGCUUCAUAACAACAUCCAGAUCUCAUGAGCUAAUUGAUAUCUCUGGUGUUUGUGAUCGUGCAGACUCAUUGGAAUUUAACAAUCCAUGCAGGCAUGGACCCAUGGGUUUUGUAAGGAAAUAUUAAUGUUUAGUUUUCAUAGUUUCUUUUUGAAUGUGGAAUGAAUUAAAAAUGUAUCUCAAGUUAUAUGUGACAGUUUUUAAUGGUGUAAACACAGAGAAAAAGAAGACUUUCAGUCACAAUGUUUAAGCCUUGUAUAUUGUGGUUUAUAGUGAAAAACUUUAUGCAAUAACUGGUCAGAAUUGAAUUCGACAUGCUAGUCAAGCUAUUAGUCAGAAUGAAAUAAAGAGAUAUUACUUACCUAUAAAAUUCUUGUAAAUCAAAACGUAACCAAAACCAUCUCAUAUCUGCAAUUCAUGUGGAAGCUGCCAAAUGCAAUUCAUAAAAAUUGAUAGAAAUGUUAUAAUAAUUUUGAUUUUAUCACUGUUAUACAACCAGGUGUGCUUUGAUGUUUUAUAUCAUGUUAAUGUAUUUAAUAUAAAUUUUGAGAAACGUUGUUGGUCUUGUGUGGCAAAACGGAUCUUUUUAUGAAAACUUAAUUCUGAAUAUAAAAAUGAGGAGGUGUGAUGUGAUUGCCAAUUAGACACCUCUCCACCAAAUGGAACAGAUUUAGGUAACUAUGCAGCUUUUAACGAAAACCAAAACCAAUACCUUAAAGUUAGAUAUUAGGCUGAAUGAUGACCUUAUUUGAUGCACUAAAUUGAAGUUUGAUGUAAAUAAACAGUACUUAUGCACCAUUGUAUGAGUAAGAAUAUAACUGACAUGAAAAAGGAUGAUUUAAACCACUAUCAUCAAUACUUUUAUUGUAUAACCUGAAUAAAUUGACAUUUUAGUUCUCAAGAUCGAACAUCGUUACAUGCCAGUUUAAAGAAAGACGUAAACCAUUGUAUUGUUUAAGAUGUAUAGGGCUUUAGAAGUAUAAAUGCCUGGAAAUGACGUCUACAGUAUAAUUUAUUUAACAUGCAUUACAUUUAUAUUAUAUUUUAGGUGCUUGUUUGUUUACUGAAGUGAUAAUGUUUUCUUUGAGAUAUUUUAUGUUACAUUGGAAUAAAAGGC
This 3346-nucleotide long non-coding RNA is filed under the name Mytilus galloprovincialis (Mediterranean mussel). The record is from RNAcentral. Lineage: Eukaryota; Metazoa; Mollusca; Bivalvia; Mytilida; Mytilidae.